CCUCCUCUCUCUGCCCCUGCCGCCGCGGCCACCUCCCUCCCCAACUACCAAUCCCUCCCCCACUCCCGAUCUCCUCGCCCUGCUGCCGCCACCUCCCUCACUACCAUCUCCUCUCCCAGCCACCGCCACCUCCCUCCCAAUCUCUCCCUCGGUCUGUCCCUCCUCGUCUCCUCACCGCUGGGCGCGAGAUCGGUCGCCGUCCCACGCGUAACAGCAGCCGGAUCCGGCCUCCACCGCCGCCAACCGCCGGAGAUCCAGCCUCCAACGCCGCCCCGGUACGCAUCUCUCCCUCUCUUCCUCUCUUGGUCCUUUCUAAAUGUCACCCUCUCUCUUCCUCUCACGCAGCCGAAUCUCUCUCCGACUCUCUCUCGUUUUCUCUUUCCUGCGGAGCGACGUCGCCGAAGGAUGGGAGGCGGCGGCAGGGAGGACGCAGCGCAUGGUGGCCCAUGCUCGCGGGUGGAGAUGAGAGCUCGUCCCUGCCGUCGUGGAGACAUUGGGCUGCCGCUGCCGCUGCCGCUGCCGCUGAUUGACAAGGAGGUCGCCGCCGGGCCGAGUGGGGUCGUGGUCGCUGCUACGCCAUUCCUGCAUUCCCGACUUGUGAUUUAUUUGUAUAUGUGUUUUGUUUCUGUGGCGAGAUACUCCCUCCAUUUCACAAAGAAUGGCGCCAACGUUUUUCGAGAUCGAACUUUGACCAACGAUUAGAUCAAUUGUAUGUAGAUUAUAUGUUACAAAUUUUGUAUCGUUGAAAAGAUUUUUAAAAUACGAAUCUAAUGAUAUAAUUUUUUGUAAAACAUAGUCUAAUUGUUGGUUAAAGCAAAAUUUUGAAAUACGUGCGUGCCAUUCUUUGUGAAAUGGAGGGAGUACGUGAUUCUGUGAUAUUCACCAUUUGUGAUUUGCGAUUCUGUGAUUUGUUCAUCUACGACCCAAAUUUACAGUCCACGGGCCUGUUUUUUUUAAA
Brachypodium distachyon (stiff brome) is the source of this 958-nucleotide long non-coding RNA. RefSeq lists it as uncharacterized. The transcript has 2 exons. NCBI's taxonomy places the organism in Eukaryota, Viridiplantae, Streptophyta, Magnoliopsida, Poales, Poaceae. The record is from RefSeq and is a predicted model, not a curated record.